Cyprinus carpio (common carp) is the source of this 996-nucleotide long non-coding RNA. RefSeq lists it as uncharacterized. Lineage: Eukaryota; Metazoa; Chordata; Actinopteri; Cypriniformes; Cyprinidae. The record is from RefSeq and is a predicted model, not a curated record. The transcript is spliced from 4 exons.
GGAGGGCCGCAUAGGUCAGAAAGUUUUGGUGCAGAGAAGAAGGAACGCAAAGCGAGGAGCAGCAGGUUCGGCGAGCCGCGGUCGACGCCUUCCUAAAACCACAGAGGAGCUGUGUUUCGAUCAUUGACAGGAGAGAGUGGGAAUUUAUUAGGACAAAAAUAUCUGGAAUCUCUAUGGAAACACAAUGAAGUCAGUUGCUCUGGCCCAGUUUCAAAGAGAACAGCAUCUUUCUGCACCUGCAGGUUUUAUGAUGCAGCAGCUCUGAAGUUUGAGCAGGUGAAUGUUAAAGUCUGCUGCGUUCAAGGGGUCACUCAGUGUGCACUGCAGGCCCGCGGCUGAUUUGAUCGGGUCGGGUCGGGUCGGUCCGGUCAGUGUGAGGGAUGAUACGGUGCUCUUAUCUUGUGUUGACAGAGCCGUACGUAAUCAGAUCCUGUUUACUGCAGGGAUUAAUUGAUCACCUAAUAUCAGCUGAUAAACCGUGAAUGUGGACCAAUGAGAGGCUCUCAUCAAACACCGCCGGCCAAUGGGAGCAGAGAACAGAGGAGAGUGGCUCCGGCAUUUUGCACUGAAGUGCAUUAGAAAUCUUCACUGUGUUUCGUCACGGCCUGCGGCGCUGAGGCGACGUGUGCAAUCAGGCUCUAUAAAAACACGCCGCAGAUGAGAGUUGAGAAACUGAUUGGAGAGCCCUUACAGAAGUGUGUGUGUGUGUGUGUGUGUGUGUGUUCGCAGCCCCUGAAUGCUGCAAAAGGCAUUGUUAUUAGUAUUGAUCCAUAUCCUUGACUUAGGUGGUAAAAAUGUGCUCUAUUAUUAGGCCCGUGUGCUUUGUUUUCACUAUUUGAGAGCUGUCCUCUCCAGGAUGAGAUGUGUGAAAGACCUCUAAAUCUUGUCUCAAAUACACAAUGGAGACCUUUAAAGGUCAGGUUACCUUAAUAUGGACCUCGCGUCUAAUGGAAAUUGCAUAUUGUUAUUGUUCUUACUGAAUAUUGUGAAAAUAUA